This 253-nucleotide ribosomal RNA is filed under the name uncultured bacterium. Its description in RNAcentral is "partial 16S ribosomal RNA". It matches the Rfam family "Bacterial small subunit ribosomal RNA", at positions 524 to 776 of the family's 1533-position model. The record is from RNAcentral.
UACGUAGGGGGCGAGCGUUAUCCGGAUUCACUGGGUGUAAAGGGAGCGUAGACGGCCGAUCAAGUCUGGAGUGAAAGCCCGGGGCCCAACCCCGGGACUGCUCUGGAAACUGGUGGGCUAGAGUGCUGGAGAGGUAAGUGGAAUUCCUAGUGUAGCGGUGAAAUGCGUAGAUAUUAGGAGGAACACCGGUGGCGAAGGCGGCUUACUGGACAGUGACUGACGUUGAGGCUCGAAAGCGUGGGGAGCAAACAGG